CGUGUAGGCGGUUGGUUAAGUCGGAUGUGAAAGCCUGGGGCUCAGCCCCAGAAGUGCAUCCGAAACUAUCCAGCUAGAGCGCGAUAGAGGAGGGUGGAAUUCCUGGUGUAGCGGUGAAAUGCGUAGAUAUCAGGAGGAACACCGGCGGCGAAGGCGGCCCUCUGGAUCGUUGCUGACGCUGAGACGCGAAAGCGUGGGGAGCAAACAGGAUUAGAUACCCUGGUAGUCCACGCCUUAAACGAUGGGUACUAGGUGUUCGGGGUGUUGAUCCCCUGAGUGCCGCAGUUAACGCAUUAAGUACCCCGCCUGGGGACUACGGCCGCAAGGUUAAA
RNAcentral lists this ribosomal RNA (332 nucleotides) under uncultured bacterium. RNAcentral's name for it is "bacterial SSU rRNA". It matches the Rfam family "Bacterial small subunit ribosomal RNA", at positions 568 to 898 of the family's 1533-position model. The record is from RNAcentral.